AUACGUAGGGGGCGAGCGUUGUCCGGAAUGAUUGGGCGUAAAGGGCGCGUAGGCGGCCCGGUAAGUCUGGAGUGAAAGUCCUGUUUUUAAGAUGGGAAUUGCUUUGGAUACUGUCGGGCUUGAGGGCAGGAGAGGUAAGUGGAAUUCCCAGUGUAGCGGUGAAAUGCGUAGAGAUUGGGAGGAACACCAGUGGCGAAGGCGGCUUACUGGACUGUAACUGACGCUGAGGCGCGAAAGUGUGGGGAGCAAACAGGAUUAGAUACCCUGGUAGUCCACACUGUAAACGAUGAAUGCUAGGUGUAGGGGGUAUCGACCCCUUCUGUGCCGCAGUCAACACAAUAAGCAUUCCGCCUGGGGAGCACGGCCGCAAGGUUGAAACUCAAAUGAAUUGACGGGG
RNAcentral lists this ribosomal RNA (397 nucleotides) under uncultured bacterium. RNAcentral's name for it is "partial 16S ribosomal RNA". It matches the Rfam family "Bacterial small subunit ribosomal RNA", at positions 523 to 918 of the family's 1533-position model. The record is from RNAcentral.